Long non-coding RNA from Etheostoma cragini (Arkansas darter), 358 nucleotides. RefSeq lists it as uncharacterized. NCBI's taxonomy places the organism in Eukaryota, Metazoa, Chordata, Actinopteri, Perciformes, Percidae. The record is from RefSeq and is a predicted model, not a curated record. The transcript has 2 exons.
GUCUGCAACAGUUUGUCUCUGUCGUGUGGUUAACACAAGUUUUUAGCUGUGACUGUCCUUCCUUGGCCGUACCUGAAGUUGCUGCAUUUUGGCUGCUGUCCGCAGAUUUCCUGAUGAAAUUGAGCACGUAGCUCAACUUGAAUUGCCUUCUUUUGACUGAAGGUACUGCCAAACAACACUUGUUCUUCUCAUGAGUUCCAUUCUCCCUUUCUAACAGCCUACUGCAUUGAACGGUCCACCUACACGAACACCUUCCCGUAAUCCGCGGAGGCGUCAUCACGUCGACCAGCAUUGUGCAAGCCAAGGGUUCGGUUCAGUGGAAAAACAUUCUAAGGUUCAGCAGAAACCAAACCCCGUC